GCCGCGGUGGCGGAACUGGUAUACGCGCAUGACUUAAAAUCAUGUGGUCGUAAGACCUUGCGGGUUCGAUUCCCGCCCGCGGCACCA
This 87-nucleotide transfer RNA is filed under the name candidate division WS5 bacterium. Its description in RNAcentral is "tRNA-Leu". It matches the Rfam family "tRNA". Rfam says of the family: Transfer RNA (tRNA) molecules are approximately 80 nucleotides in length. Their secondary structure includes four short double-helical elements and three loops (D, anti-codon, and T loops). The record is from RNAcentral.